ACGUACACUCCUGCGGGAGGCAGCAGUGGGGAAUUUUGGACAAUGGGCGAAAGCCUGAUCCAGCAAUGCCGCGUGCAGGAUGAAGGCCUUCGGGUUGUAAACUGCUUUUGUACGGAACGAAAAAGCUCCUUCUAAUACAGGGGGCCCAUGACGGUACCGUAAGAAUAAGCACCGGCUAACUACGUGCCAGCAGCCGCGGUAAUACGUAGGGUGCGAGCGUUAAUCGGAAUUACUGGGCGUAAAGCGUGCGCAGGCGGUUAUGUAAGACAGAUGUGAAAUCCCCGGGCUCAACCUGGGAACUGCAUUUGUGACUGCAUGGCUAGAGUACGGUAGAGAGGGAUGUAAUUCCGCGUGUAGCAGUGAAAUGCGUAGAUAUGCGGAGGAACACCGAUGGCGAAGGCAAUCCCCUGGACCUGUACUGACGCUCAUGCACGAAAGCGUGGGGAGCAAACAGGAUUAGAAACCCUAGUAGUCCCAUG
This 479-nucleotide ribosomal RNA is filed under the name uncultured organism. RNAcentral describes it as "partial 16S ribosomal RNA". It matches the Rfam family "Bacterial small subunit ribosomal RNA", at positions 329 to 799 of the family's 1533-position model. The record is from RNAcentral.